This is a long non-coding RNA of Lycium ferocissimum, 6120 nucleotides long. RefSeq lists it as uncharacterized. The record is from RefSeq and is a predicted model, not a curated record. Lineage: Eukaryota; Viridiplantae; Streptophyta; Magnoliopsida; Solanales; Solanaceae. The transcript is spliced from 3 exons.
UGUUCUCUCAAAAAACGCAGAAUUUUAAAGUCCUUCAAAGGCAAAAUGCCAUUCCCAAGUCCUCAACGUAAACCACAGCUGGAUAACGCCAUUUUUGGCUAAAAUUCCAGCAUACUUUCGUGAGAUUCAGCCAUUUUUCGUCCGCUUAUAGCAAGAAAUUUAUUGAUCCUUGUUUUCUUCCUCUCGUGAAGUCAAACAAACGGUAACUUUUCUUUUUUUAUCUUUUCGAUUUUCCCUUUUCUUUUCAAAAGAUUCGGAUUUCGCCGUCGCUGCUAGACAAAAAGGUAAUAUCGCUUUCCUUUUCCUUUUUUUAAGGAUUCAUAAGUAAGAGUUGAAGACAUCAGAAGGAAUCUUCUUCCUUAGCUUAGUUGUUAGUUCUGUGUGUUUGUUUUAACUUUCGCAUAGAUUAGCUUAGCUGUAGCUAAUCUACUUCCUUAUCUUAGUUACUACUUCUGUGUGUUUACAGUAGAUUCGACUUGUUGAGUUAUUAGUUCUCCUUUUCUUCAUAUGUGUGAAGCAUGUAUUUAUAGUAAUCGACAUAUAUGAAGUUAAUAUCAAGACGGGAGUUGUUUGCUUAAAUGACGACUCUUUGUUUCUUCACUUGAAAUCAGCCUAAUCCCCCUUUUAUUCAUGUCAAGUGCAUAAACUGUUUACUCGCUCUUUAGAUAAUAUACUGGCAUUCUUCAUUUUUACAUGAACAUGAACCUAGUUCAGUAGGUGUCUCUAUUAAAAAGGCUGUGUUUAAGUUAAAAAGUCCUCUUUGAUUCAUUAGCUAUGCAAACAGCUGAAUAUUAGUUCGUUAACCAUGUUUGAAUUCAAAAAUGAUUCUCUCUCCAAUUGACUUGCUUGAAUGUUUAAAUUGUUGAAAAGAUAAGAAUAGGCUGUGGUAGAGUUUAUUAUGCCACUGGAGUAUUAAUAUCUGUUUUCUUACAGUGCUGGUUCGGAUUUUCAGUUUCCAUUGGUUAAAUGCCCCACAUUAUGUUUUUCCUCUUAUCUAGUAGCCCUCAGAUUCCUGGAGGAAUCCUUAUAUUAUGUGUGUACUAGUUAAUAUUUUCCAAGCACUGUCUUCAGUUAAGUGCUAAGAGAUAGGCUUCAUUUAAAUUUGGCUCAGAAUAUGAGUUUCUAUGUUUAGUUUAGAGGAACGGAUAAUUCCAUGGCUUGUUUGAGCUUUUGUUUGUUUCGUUUUGUUUAUUAUCUCAAGCUCCAAAAUUGCUUUUGUUAGAAUAGUGGUUCUCGUAAGGGGUAGCUUAUUUUAUGGUUUGAGCAAGUGUGCAUUUUCCCUGGUGAUCAGUGAACCAUUUAGCUUAGCAGAAAACACAUUUGUACCAAAGAUUUAAUUGAUUUUGAACAGCCAAAUACUUUAGCCAAGUUUGCUGCCACAAUAAAUAAGAAUCUGCAAGCUUCUUUCCCCUUUCAAACAUCCACUUUUGGUUCUGUUUUGAAAACAAAUGUAAAGGCUUAGAAAUAAACCUCUUAGAGUUUGAAACUACUUAGUCCAAUUGAGUUUCAAUAUUAACCUUUGUUUAGCACUUCAGAUGUUCUAAAAGAGAACGAACAGUUAUUAGUUUGUGUUCAUUUCCCCUAAAAAGAUCAGUCAAUCAUCUAAUUGAGAACCCCUUAUACAAGGCUGAGAUCAGAGUACUUUUUUUUUUUUUAAUUUUUUUACUAAAUAAGGGAUUGAGUUUAGUUGUGUCUUCAAACAUCAACUCUCUAAGUCAAAAUUCUGGAUUCCCUUUGUACUUCUUAAGGUCAAAAUUUAAUGAUGUGUUUGUUGACUUCUUCACUGCUCCAACAUGUUGUCUUUUCAAGGUUAAUUAUGAAAUGUGUUCUGUCGUAAGCCAGAACUCUUCCUUCUCUUUCUUGAUGAUUUAAAAUUAUUUUGGUUCUGUUUGACACUAGACAAUAGGAUUUGCUUCCUCUAGAGCUCAAGAAUGAUUUUGAAAAUAAAUCAGAUGAUUUGCUUGUUGAUAACGCUUUAGUUGAAGUUGGUUUAGUAUGUUCUAAUUGAUUUCUCAUAUCCCCCAUAAGUGCUUAAGAGUUUCCAAGUAACUUGAAACACUAGUUUUCUAAAGUUAGUAGUUAUCCUGUGACUUAAAAAGGACUAUUGCAGUUUGAACUCAACUUAUUUCAGUAGUUUUGGACAGCCUCAGUAUAAGAGGUCCACAUUCAUUUGAGGCAUCAUUUCAGUGGCUGCUCUUUUUCCCUUUAAGUUGAGUAUUAGAUUUGAAAUGAAGUUGAAUAUCUUGCCUUGUGUGGAUGAGCUAGAGCUUAUUUGUAUUUAUGUUGACCCAGUGAUAAGUUAUGAAGGGUUAGUCUCAAGAGGAUAAAUUUAAGUUUUAAGUUACUGGUUUAGAAAUCACACACUCAUGGCAUCUUGCCUUAAACAUUCGUGCUCUGUCCAAUAUGAAAUAGUUCUGUUUGACCAUUAUGAAACAAUCUAUUAAACUUUUCCUGUUGAAGUGUCCAUUUGGGUUUACAUUCAAAAGUGUUGAAUUUUAGAAGUAACAUUCGAUUUAAUUUAACUCUUAUCUGUUCCUUUCUUUCUAAAAGAUGCUUAUGUGCAUAUUUGAUUUUUUUUUUUUUUUUGGCAUAGAGUUUCAACAAUUAUAUUUCUGCAUUUGAAGUUUGAGAGUUGGUUUAUUUGAUUAGUGCUUGUGUGUUUUUUCUGGGAACUAAACGAGGUUUGUGAAUAAUAACUUAAAGCUCUAAGGAGCCCAUCUUUUCUCCUUAACAACUUAAGCGGCUCUAUCUUUUUUUUUUUUUAAAUAGGCUACUGGGAUAGAUUUGAGCUUCCGAAAAUCAAUAGUCAUAUCUUAAGAAUUCUUGAGUGACUGGUUAUUCGUGACCUGAUGCUUAUUUUUUAGAAAAUAUGUUGAGUGCACUAAUCUCCUUUGCUGCUUUGAGUAUUUUGCGUAUUAGUUUAACACUAAUCUUUUCUUUACUAAUCCUUAUUUUCUCUACUUUCUAUGCGUGAACACUCGUACGAGUCCAACGGAUUCAUCCUAGCAACCCCGCAUUAUCUCGUUGCGUUGGAAGCCCAACAUGCAUUAGAGCGAGUCGGACCACAGAGAUUGAAGGCCCAAUCAUGGGUGAACCAUGGGUGAACAUGGUUCAAGUUUAGGUUGGUGGGAUUAGUUAAAGGGAGGCAAAGAGGAGGCAAAGAGCAAUCACAUAGUGUAGUUAGUUCAACAUGAUUGUUGUAAAGAAGACCGUAAGACUCUUGCUUUCUCAUUCGAAGAUCCGGCUUAUCCGAUUGUUGUAAGUAACAAGCCUUUGCUUCUUGCCAUAAUUGUAGAAGCUAGAAGAAUUGUGUUCCGAGUGCAUGCCUUUGCAUCCCAUCGAAUGUGUUCCGAUUGCACGCCUUUGCAUCCCAUCGAAUGUGUUCCGAUUGCACGCCUUUGCAUCCCAUCAAACUUUCUACUUCAUAAGUCAUGUUGCCUUACAUUUGUAUUGUUUACCUUUAAUAAGCUUGAAAAUGUAUAUUGUAAUGUGUGUAGGAUUUUUAUAAGAGAUAUAAGUGUUUGAUAUAUCUGCAGCUAAGUCAUAGUGUCUGUUAAACUUGCUCUAUAUCGGAGGUUUAUGCGUGUCAGUGGGAAGGCGUCUCAUUUUACAGAAAAAUCCAAUAACGUAUAUAUGCAGUUUUCUUUUCGUGAGUAGAAAAUUACUCCCAUGGUUGUGCGUUCAUCAGUAGAAAUUAUAUGUACAAUUCAGCUAGGAAAGAUUUACUUUAUAGUUCUUAUAAAUAGUGGAUGAUAUUUUUGCCGCAUAGCAGUCAGUUGUUUGGCUCUUUUUUCUUCUCUAUAACACUUCAUAUUUACUAUUGUAAUAGAGGAAGGCGAUGAAGAGUUAGUGAUUGCAACGACGGAUUGCAGUAGAUGAGGAUAACAAAAUGUCGACGUACAAGGAGUCGAUAAUAAUCCCUUUCCCUUGAGUAAUGCAGUUGUGGACAAGGCAUACUUUGUAUAAAUACCUUUAUCAAUUUAACUUGCUCCUAACUUUUUAGUAGUUUUUAUGAAUGUACCAUUGCUCAAAUUUGUCACAAUCUUGUCUCAGGAAUUCUUCAUUAGGCUUACUGCUGGAAUUCCAAUUAGUUUCGAUGCUGAAUAGCAACGUGUAAUUCUAUGCUUACAAGCUGCAAUCGAAAGUUGAGCAUUUGAGAUUUAUCCAACCAAACCUGCGAGCUUUUGAAGGGGCUCUACAUCUCCAUAGCAGUUGGCAAGGCCAAGGUUUAGAGGUACUCGCCAAGUUGAGCAUUCUGUAAUAACAUGCCUUUACCAUGUUCAAUUGUCUGAAAACAAAAUCCUUCCCUCCUGUUAUUCCGAGGGAGAACUUAGGUUCUAAUCUCUUAAUCUUGACAAUACCUGCUGGUUUUUCUAUAGCUUUGAGGAUACCAAUGCUUUCAAAAUCUUUCUUUGCUUACACUAAGUAGUUUGUGUUACCUAUCAUCUGUCCUAUACUGAGUAACCUGAAAAGAGGUCAUGUGUAUCCUUCUCAUCAAAUGAAGAAGAUUAGCCAUACAAUUAUGCAAGAAAAAAUUCUGAUUAGGUAGUAAUUAUCCUCAAUUGUUGUACAGAAUUGAGUGGUACGUAGUGCUAAGUAUUAAACUACCGUGAGGAGCUUCAUUUAUCUACACAUUUAGCCACAUAUGGUUUCUGAAUAAAAGAGAUACACACAGUAAAUGAGUUUUGGCAUUUGCUGUUUGUGUGUCACUUUUAAUUAGUAUGAAUUGUGAAAUCUAUGUUUUUUUUUUCCCGGAAGAAUGUAGCCAAAACUAGACUAAAUGUAGAUAUCCUAUAGUUCCAUUAAUAGACAGGCUUUUGACAAGUAAAUGCAUUAGUAUCUUGCAAAGCUUUAACAUGACCUUUUAAAUAUGUGAUCAUUGGUGAGUUUGAUAAAUGAGGUUGCGACUUCUGUGCCGAAUUUGUUUGAUGCUUCACUGGGAUAGUCCCACUACAAAAAGACUGGAUAUAGAUCUCUUCUCUUGCUUCAAAUGUCUCAUGGUCUGGGCAAUCUUGAAAGAAAUGAAUUGAAUUAAUUUUACAAAAAGAAUAUAUGGAUCAUAUACAUUGAAAUUGUAGGAAACAGUGCACCAUUAUAUGGAUGGUGUAAUUACGAAGUAUUAUGUCUCAUAGUCUAUGUUUCACAUGGUAAAGUUGGGCAAUCCUUAACAGGUUCUGUAAAACGCGCUGAGUAACUAUAUGAGCAUCAACCACAUUGGGUUAUUACCAGAUAAGGUGGCAUUUUCACCUAAGACAUGCAUUACUCAUUGGAUUGUUUGGCUCGUGCAUUCAAAACAUUUUCUUUCAUAAUUUUUUUAAAGGUAUUUGUAUACGUUAUAUUAUAUGUUUUGUAUUUUAAUUUUAUAGAGAUACCGAGUGAAGAGAGAGACACUCACACCCCGCUAAAAAAUUGAAAUGAUAGACUCUUGUUUAUAUUAAUCCAAAUCUGUUUUAUAUGGUUAUACCAAUUACUUUGAGGAGUAACAACGUUGCCCAUCCUACUUUGCAGGUUCUGUUUGUUCACAAAUACAGUGGUGGGACGGUUCUUGGUUCAGUGCUUCCUUAUUUCAUCCUCCUAUUUUAUGUUGGUUGUAGUCAUGAUCUAUAUCCAACAGUUAACUCAAGUUUAUACAUAGCCAGAAAGUGAUCUGAAUUAUAUUAGUUUACUGAUAUUCUUAAUCAGCAUAUGUGGCAACUUACAUCAUCUUACGUCCUUUCCAAUCUCAGAGACAAGAGAGAGAAGGGCUAUAAAAUUCCCUAAGGGUGGCCUUUCCAGUGUGGUCAUCUGCCCUCAUUGUCGUUUCAAAAUUCUUGACUGUUUAGGGAUUCCAUUCAUCUCCCAGACACCAUUUUCUUUUUAAUGUGCUGUAGGUGUAUCUUUAUAUCUGCUGGGAAAGAGCAAUGUUACUAGGAAAUGAUACCUUUCCAAAUUUGAAAUUUUCGUAAGAAUGUUAAGGCCUUGAUUCCUUUUGCUUUCCAGUAAAUAUUGAAAGUGCUUCUUUUUAUCCCAAUUCGGUUCCAUACAAUUUGCUUGCUUGAUUGAAAAAUGUCGUAGUUUGUCUUAACGUUCCACUCUACAAUACAAUAACACUUCUACCAUGUAUAAGUAGAAGCACAAAAA